AAUCAACGCUGGCGGCGUGCCUAACACAUGCAAGUCGAGCGCGAAAGCGGGGCAACUCGCAAGUAGAGCGGCGAACGGGUGAGUAACGCGUGGGUGAUCUACCUCCGAGUGGGGAACAACAUCGGGAAACUGGUGCUAAUACCGCAUGACAUCCUCGGGUCAUACUGAGGAUCAAAGCCGGGGACCGCAAGGCCUGGCGCUUGGAGAGGAGCCCGCGUCCGAUUAGCUA
This 229-nucleotide ribosomal RNA is filed under the name uncultured bacterium. RNAcentral describes it as "partial 16S ribosomal RNA". It matches the Rfam family "Bacterial small subunit ribosomal RNA", at positions 32 to 247 of the family's 1533-position model. The record is from RNAcentral.